This is a long non-coding RNA of Drosophila pseudoobscura, 514 nucleotides long. RefSeq lists it as uncharacterized. Lineage: Eukaryota; Metazoa; Arthropoda; Insecta; Diptera; Drosophilidae. The transcript is spliced from 2 exons. The record is from RefSeq and is a predicted model, not a curated record.
AAAAUCCUGAUCAAUCUGUUUGUUUCAAUCCAAACGAUAUCCUCAGUAGGUCUAGAGUAGGCAUUCUCUAUAAGUCGCUAGUAAAAAUUGUCCCGAGGCAUACAAAACAAAUCUAAAAUGAAUAAUUUCACUGGAUCUCUGACGGUGGGCAGGCGAACAAUUGCCAGAAUGAGAAUAUUCAAAAUCAAUAGAUGGCGGAAGUUGUCCAUGCCCAAGUACAAAACAAAAGGAAUAAACAGUCAAUUGGUGACACUAUGCCAGGAUCUAGGUUUAGAUCCGAAUAUGGAGCUGACUCCCGCUCAAUUCCAAGAAAUACGAGACCUGCUAAAGGUCAAUAUAGAGGAAACGGUGUACCAUAAGAUUCCGAAAAAGCUUCUAUGUUUCAUCCUAGCUGGGAUACUGACUGCACUCGCAGGCAAAGUACUCCUACAGAAUGCCUAUGUGACGGUACUGCUCCAGGAUCCAUUUAAAUGGGUAAAAAACAUAUUUUAAAAUAAAUAAACCAAACGUUCUA